Molecule: ribosomal RNA, 253 nt
Filed under: uncultured bacterium
Lineage: Bacteria
Description: partial 16S ribosomal RNA
Rfam family: Bacterial small subunit ribosomal RNA
Source: RNAcentral
UACGUAGGGAGCAAGCGUUGUCCGGAAUCAUUGGGCGUAAAGCGCGCGUAGGCGGCCCUGUAAGUCCGUUGUGAAAGUCCAGGGCUCAACCCUGGAAAGCGGGUGGAUACUGCCGGGCUAGAAUCCGGAAGAGGCGAGUGGAAUUCCUGGUGUAGCGGUGGAAUGCGCAGAUAUCAGGAGGAACACCAAUAGCGAAGGCAGCUCGCUGGGACGGUAUUGACGCUAAGGCGCGAAAGCGUGGGGAGCAAACAGG